CUGGCUCAGGACGAACGCUGGCGGCAUGCCUCACACAUGCAAGUCGAACGGGGUAUAGUUUAAAGCUUGCUUUGGCCUAUACCUAGUGGCGGACGGGUGAGUAACGCGUGGGCAACCUACCCUACAGACCGGGAUACCAUCGGGAAACUGAUGUUAAUACCGGAUA
Molecule: ribosomal RNA, 166 nt
Filed under: Anaerobranca californiensis DSM 14826
Lineage: Bacteria; Bacillati; Bacillota; Clostridia; Eubacteriales; Proteinivoracaceae
Description: 16S rRNA. Bacterial SSU
Rfam family: Bacterial small subunit ribosomal RNA
Source: RNAcentral